CAGUUUCACUACAGGCGUGUCCGGAGAUAUGCGGAACACAGGUCUCUUCUCGGGCUUUCCGCAUUUAACGUACUUUCCAUAAACGUUUUUGUCGUUCCUCUAAUUCACGGCAGAAGCAUUUCAAAUCAUGCAUAGCAAGGCAACAAGCUGGCAACACACGGCAACAAGCUGGUGACAGGAACGUAUUUCAUAACAACGAGAGCAUGGACGGCAUGGAUGAUGACUCAGGGCAGCUCCUCUGUUCCAGCCCCUCACUCUAAAAGAAGCUCACCUUCACAAGAGACAGUGUGCCUGUUCCACUAGUUUUGUCCUCAGCACCAUAAGAGAAAUUAGCCUCCCCCUUCAACUGACUCAGUUCUUAGCUGGAACUCAAGUCAACAAUGCACCUUUACAGAGUAUCCUGGAACUUGCAGGACUGCACCCUGGGGGUUAGUAUUACUGCUGCAAAGUCACCUUUGAACACUGUUAUUACUCUAUUACUUCUGUAUAUCUGAAUUUUUCCACAUCAAGCAUGACUGCAGACACAAUUUUUAUUUCUUAUUUUUUAAUUGUUUCUUUUUUUUCCUAAAAAAAAUAACUGGUCUGUUAUACAUAAUAAAACACCCUAAGUACAAACAUAAACAGGUGUGAACAGUCUUUUUUGUGAUGCUGCUCACCCUUGUGGUCAGCAUAGCUUCUGCAAAGCAUCAUCUAGCAGAGACCUCCUGCUCAGUCAGGUCUACAGGUUCAAAGGCCUUCCCAGACGUCCUAAUUUAA
Molecule: long non-coding RNA, 756 nt
Organism: Anguilla anguilla (European eel)
Lineage: Eukaryota; Metazoa; Chordata; Actinopteri; Anguilliformes; Anguillidae
Exons: 2
Source: RefSeq, a predicted model, not a curated record